This 468-nucleotide ribosomal RNA is filed under the name uncultured bacterium. Its description in RNAcentral is "partial 16S ribosomal RNA". It matches the Rfam family "Bacterial small subunit ribosomal RNA", at positions 28 to 507 of the family's 1533-position model. The record is from RNAcentral.
GACGAACGCUGGCGGCGUGCUUAACACAUGCAAGUCGAACGGAAAGGCCCUGCUUUUGUGGGGUGCUCGAGUGGCGAACGGGUGAGUAACACGUGAGUAACCUGCCCUUGACUUUGGGAUAACUUCAGGAAACUGGGGCUAAUACCGGAUAGGAGCUCCUGCUGCAUGGUGGGGGUUGGAAAGUUUCGGCGGUUGGGGAUGGACUCGCGGCUUAUCAGCUUGUUGGUGGGGUAGUGGCUUACCAAGGCUUUGACGGGUAGCCGGCCUGAGAGGGUGACCGGCCACAUUGGGACUGAGGUACGGCCCAGACUCCUACGGGAGGCAGCAGUGGGGAAUAUUGCACAAUGGGCGGAAGCCUGAUGCAGCAACGCCGCGUGCGGGAUGACGGCCUUCGGGUUGUAAACCGCUUUCGCCUGUGACGAAGCGUGAGUGACGGUAAUGGAUAAAGAAGCACCGGCUAACUACGUG